This 370-nucleotide ribosomal RNA is filed under the name uncultured bacterium. RNAcentral's name for it is "bacterial SSU rRNA". It matches the Rfam family "Bacterial small subunit ribosomal RNA", at positions 28 to 414 of the family's 1533-position model. The record is from RNAcentral.
GAUGAAUGCUGGCGGCGUGCCUAAUACAUGCAAGUCGAGCGGUAAGGCCCUUCGGGGUACACGAGCGGCGGACGGCUGAGUAACGCGUGGGAACAUGCCCCAAAGUGAGGGAUAACGCACCGAAAGGUGUGCUAAUACCGCAUAUGGUCUUCGGAUUAAAGGAUUAUCCGCUUUGGGAGUGGCCCGCGUACGAUUAGAUUGUUGGUGAGGUAACGGCUCACCAAAGUCGACGAUCGUUAACUGGUCUGAGAGGAUGAUCAGUCAGACUGGAACUGAGACACGGUCCAGACUCCUACGGGAGGCAGCAGUAAGGAAUCUUCCACAAUGGGCGAAAGCCUGAUGGAGUAAACGGCCGCGUGCAGGAUGAAGG